Loxodonta africana (African savanna elephant) is the source of this 101-nucleotide unclassified non-coding RNA. It matches the Rfam family "Y RNA". From Rfam's summary of the family: Y RNAs are components of the Ro ribonucleoprotein particle (Ro RNP), in association with Ro60 and La proteins. NCBI's taxonomy places the organism in Eukaryota, Metazoa, Chordata, Mammalia, Proboscidea, Elephantidae. The record is from Ensembl.
GGAAAAACAAAAGGCAGUGAGUUCUCUCAGCCAAUUUCUCAGCCAAUUACAGGUCGACCUUCUCGUCUACCCCGCUCACUGCUGCGCUUGACUGGUCUUUG